Molecule: ribosomal RNA, 1554 nt
Filed under: Klebsiella pneumoniae subsp. pneumoniae
Lineage: Bacteria; Pseudomonadati; Pseudomonadota; Gammaproteobacteria; Enterobacterales; Enterobacteriaceae
Also listed under: 1 other name
Description: bacterial SSU rRNA
Rfam family: Bacterial small subunit ribosomal RNA
Source: RNAcentral
ACUUAAAUUGAAGAGUUUGAUCAUGGCUCAGAUUGAACGCUGGCGGCAGGCCUAACACAUGCAAGUCGAGCGGUAGCACAGAGAGCUUGCUCUCGGGUGACGAGCGGCGGACGGGUGAGUAAUGUCUGGGAAACUGCCUGAUGGAGGGGGAUAACUACUGGAAACGGUAGCUAAUACCGCAUAACGUCGCAAGACCAAAGUGGGGGACCUUCGGGCCUCAUGCCAUCAGAUGUGCCCAGAUGGGAUUAGCUAGUAGGUGGGGUAACGGCUCACCUAGGCGACGAUCCCUAGCUGGUCUGAGAGGAUGACCAGCCACACUGGAACUGAGACACGGUCCAGACUCCUACGGGAGGCAGCAGUGGGGAAUAUUGCACAAUGGGCGCAAGCCUGAUGCAGCCAUGCCGCGUGUGUGAAGAAGGCCUUCGGGUUGUAAAGCACUUUCAGCGGGGAGGAAGGCGAUAAGGUUAAUAACCUUGUCGAUUGACGUUACCCGCAGAAGAAGCACCGGCUAACUCCGUGCCAGCAGCCGCGGUAAUACGGAGGGUGCAAGCGUUAAUCGGAAUUACUGGGCGUAAAGCGCACGCAGGCGGUCUGUCAAGUCGGAUGUGAAAUCCCCGGGCUCAACCUGGGAACUGCAUUCGAAACUGGCAGGCUAGAGUCUUGUAGAGGGGGGUAGAAUUCCAGGUGUAGCGGUGAAAUGCGUAGAGAUCUGGAGGAAUACCGGUGGCGAAGGCGGCCCCCUGGACAAAGACUGACGCUCAGGUGCGAAAGCGUGGGGAGCAAACAGGAUUAGAUACCCUGGUAGUCCACGCCGUAAACGAUGUCGAUUUGGAGGUUGUGCCCUUGAGGCGUGGCUUCCGGAGCUAACGCGUUAAAUCGACCGCCUGGGGAGUACGGCCGCAAGGUUAAAACUCAAAUGAAUUGACGGGGGCCCGCACAAGCGGUGGAGCAUGUGGUUUAAUUCGAUGCAACGCGAAGAACCUUACCUGGUCUUGACAUCCACAGAACUUAGCAGAGAUGCUUUGGUGCCUUCGGGAACUGUGAGACAGGUGCUGCAUGGCUGUCGUCAGCUCGUGUUGUGAAAUGUUGGGUUAAGUCCCGCAACGAGCGCAACCCUUAUCCUUUGUUGCCAGCGGUCCGGCCGGGAACUCAAAGGAGACUGCCAGUGAUAAACUGGAGGAAGGUGGGGAUGACGUCAAGUCAUCAUGGCCCUUACGACCAGGGCUACACACGUGCUACAAUGGCAUAUACAAAGAGAAGCGACCUCGCGAGAGCAAGCGGACCUCAUAAAGUAUGUCGUAGUCCGGAUUGGAGUCUGCAACUCGACUCCAUGAAGUCGGAAUCGCUAGUAAUCGUAGAUCAGAAUGCUACGGUGAAUACGUUCCCGGGCCUUGUACACACCGCCCGUCACACCAUGGGAGUGGGUUGCAAAAGAAGUAGGUAGCUUAACCUUCGGGAGGGCGCUUACCACUUUGUGAUUCAUGACUGGGGUGAAGUCGUAACAAGGUAACCGUAGGGGAACCUGCGGUUGGAUCACCUCCUUACCUUAAAGAA